RNAcentral lists this long non-coding RNA (216 nucleotides) under Elaeis guineensis (African oil palm). RNAcentral describes it as "long non-coding RNA (EGUI_LNC014530)". The record is from RNAcentral. Lineage: Eukaryota; Viridiplantae; Streptophyta; Magnoliopsida; Arecales; Arecaceae.
AUGAUAACGGUCUCAUGUUUCUGUCACUCAAUGAUAUUAUUUUUCAUAUUGUUGAGAAUAAGAAAUAAAUAUAUGAUGGUCACAUAUCUCUGGCAUUGCCAACUUGACUAUUUUUGUGAGUCAAAGAUAAACAAAUAAUACAAAGAAGUGUUCUUUGUCUGUAUGAUUUUGAAUUAUAUAGAACUUAUAAAUCUUGUUUCAUGGAUAAAAUGACGA